GAUGAAGAACGUAGCGAAAUGCGAUACUUGGUGUGAAUUGCAGAAUCCCGUGAACCAUCGAGUCUUUGAACGCAAGUUGCGCCUCAAGCCAUUAGGUUGAGGGCACGUCUGCCUGGGCGUCAUAUAUCGUUGCCUGAUGCCAGUUUCCUCGUGAUGGGUGACUGUGCAGGGCGAAUGAUGGCUUCCCGUGAGCAUUGUUGCCUCAUGGUUGGUUGAAAAUUGAGUCCUUGGUAGGGAGCGCCGUGAUAGAUGGUGGUUGAGUGACGAACGAGACCCAAUCAUGUGAGACCCCUACCGAAUUUGGCCUUCAUGACCCACAUGCGUCUUUGGAACGAUCAUGACGAGACCUCAGGUCAGGCGGGGCUACCCGCUGAGUUUAAGCAUAUCAAUAAGCGGAGGA
This 400-nucleotide unclassified non-coding RNA is filed under the name soil metagenome. RNAcentral describes it as "partial contains 5.8S ribosomal RNA, internal transcribed spacer 2, and large subunit ribosomal RNA". The stretch from base 1 to 122 matches the Rfam family "5.8S ribosomal RNA", at positions 35 to 154 of the family's 154-position model. The record is from RNAcentral.